GGAUUGUGGCUCUGUGGUAGAGUGCUCACCUAGCACAUGUGAGACCCUGGGUUCGAUCCUCAGCACCA
This 68-nucleotide transfer RNA is filed under the name Marmota monax (woodchuck). RNAcentral describes it as "tRNA.Ala". The record is from RNAcentral. Lineage: Eukaryota; Metazoa; Chordata; Mammalia; Rodentia; Sciuridae.